This 1506-nucleotide ribosomal RNA is filed under the name metagenome. RNAcentral describes it as "bacterial SSU rRNA". It matches the Rfam family "Bacterial small subunit ribosomal RNA". The record is from RNAcentral.
AGAGUUUGAUCCUGGCUCAGGACGAACGCUGGCGGCGUGCCUAAUACAUGCAAGUAGAACGCUGAAGAGAGGAGCUUGCUCUUCUUGGAUGAGUUGCGAACGGGUGAGUAACGCGUAGGUAACCUGCCUUGUAGCGGGGGAUAACUAUUGGAAACGAUAGCUAAUACCGCAUAACAAUGGAUGACACAUGUCAUUUAUUUGAAAGGGGCAAUUGCUCCACUACAAGAUGGACCUGCGUUGUAUUAGCUAGUAGGUGAGGUAAUGGCUCACCUAGGCGACGAUACAUAGCCGACCUGAGAGGGUGAUCGGCCACACUGGGACUGAGACACGGCCCAGACUCCUACGGGAGGCAGCAGUAGGGAAUCUUCGGCAAUGGGGGCAACCCUGACCGAGCAACGCCGCGUGAGUGAAGAAGGUUUUCGGAUCGUAAAGCUCUGUUGUAAGUCAAGAACGGGUGUGAGAGUGGAAAGUUCACACUGUGACGGUAGCUUACCAGAAAGGGACGGCUAACUACGUGCCAGCAGCCGCGGUAAUACGUAGGUCCCGAGCGUUGUCCGGAUUUAUUGGGCGUAAAGCGAGCGCAGGCGGUUUGAUAAGUCUGAAGUUAAAGGCUGUGGCUCAACCAUAGUUCGCUUUGGAAACUGUCAAACUUGAGUGCAGAAGGGGAGAGUGGAAUUCCAUGUGUAGCGGUGAAAUGCGUAGAUAUAUGGAGGAACACCGGUGGCGAAAGCGGCUCUCUGGUCUGUAACUGACGCUGAGGCUCGAAAGCGUGGGGAGCGAACAGGAUUAGAUACCCUGGUAAUCCACGCCGUAAACGAUGAGUGCUAGGUGUUGGAUCCUUUCCGGGAUUCAGUGCCGCAGCUAACGCAUUAAGCACUCCGCCUGGGGAGUACGACCGCAAGGUUGAAACUCAAAGGAAUUGACGGGGGCCCGCACAAGCGGUGGAGCAUGUGGUUUAAUUCGAAGCAACGCGAAGAACCUUACCAGGUCUUGACAUCCCGAUGCUAUUUCUAGAGAUAGAAAGUUACUUCGGUACAUCGGUGACAGGUGGUGCAUGGUUGUCGUCAGCUCGUGUCGUGAGAUGUUGGGUUAAGUCCCGCAACGAGCGCAACCCUUAUUGUUAGUUGCCAUCAUUCAGUUGGGCACUCUAGCGAGACUGCCGGUAAUAAACCGGAGGAAGGUGGGGAUGACGUCAAAUCAUCAUGCCCCUUAUGAGCAGGGCUACACACGUGCUACAAUGGCGUAAACAAAGGGAGGCAGAACCGCGAGGUCGAGCAAAUCCCAAAAAUAACGUCUCAGUUCGGAUUGUAGUCUGCAACUCGACUACAUGAAGCUGGAAUCGCUAGUAAUCGCGAAUCAGAAUGUCGCGGUGAAUACGUUCCCGGGUCUUGUACACACCGCCCGUCACACCAUGGGAGUCAGUAACGCCCGAAGUCAGUGACCCAACCGUAAGGAGGGAGCUGCCGAAGGUGGGACCGAUAACUGGGGUGAAGUCGUAACAAGGUA